This 215-nucleotide long non-coding RNA is filed under the name Setaria italica (foxtail millet). RNAcentral's name for it is "long non-coding RNA (SITA_LNC004987)". Lineage: Eukaryota; Viridiplantae; Streptophyta; Magnoliopsida; Poales; Poaceae. The record is from RNAcentral.
ACAAUUUCAUCGAGGAAGUCGAGUACUCUAUCUGCCUUGGGGCAAAUUACUGGCUUCACCUCAAUCCAUUUGGUAAAUUUGUCAAUUGCCACAAGUACUCGGUGUAAUCCUCCAGGCGCCAUGGGCAGUGGGUAAAUCAUGUCUAGUCCCUAGCAUGCGAAGGGCCAAGAGGGUGGUAUGGUGAUCAGCUUGUAGGUAGGGACGUGCUGUUGCUU